UACGUAGGGUGCAAGCGUUGUCCGGAAUUAUUGGGCGUAAAGGGCUCGUAGGCGGUCCAUCACGUCGGGAGUGAAAAGCUGGGGCUUAACCCCAGUCCUGCUUCCGAUACGGGUGGACUAGAGGUAGGUAGGGGAGAACGGAAUUCCUGGUGUAGCGGUGAAAUGCGCAGAUAUCAGGAGGAACACCGGUGGCGAAGGCGGCAUCCUGGACCAACACUGACGCUGAGUGAGCGAAAGCCAGGGGAGCAAACGGG
This 254-nucleotide ribosomal RNA is filed under the name uncultured bacterium. RNAcentral's name for it is "partial 16S ribosomal RNA". It matches the Rfam family "Bacterial small subunit ribosomal RNA", at positions 524 to 776 of the family's 1533-position model. The record is from RNAcentral.